AUUGAACGCUGGCGGCAGGCCUAACACAUGCAAGUCGAGCGAGCGGCGGACGGGUGAGUAAUGUCUGGGAAACUGCCUGAUGGAGGGGGAUAACUACUGGAAACGGUAGCUAAUCCCGCAUACCAUCAGAUGUGCCCAGAUGGGAUUAGCUAGUAGGUGGGGUAACGGCUCACCUAGGCGACGAUCCCUAGCUGGUCUGAGUGGAUGCCCAGGCAAACGAUAACUGAGACCCGGUCCAGACUCCGUCAGUAGUAAGCAGUGGGGAAAAUUUCACAAGGGGCGCAAUCCUGAGGCAGCCAGGCCGCGUGUGUGAAGAAGGCCUUCGGGUUGUAAAGCACUUUCAGCGGGGAGGCGUGACCCGCAGAAGAAGCACCGGCUAACUCCGUGCCAGCAGCCGCGGUAAUUC
This 406-nucleotide ribosomal RNA is filed under the name uncultured bacterium. Its description in RNAcentral is "partial 16S ribosomal RNA". It matches the Rfam family "Bacterial small subunit ribosomal RNA", at positions 30 to 526 of the family's 1533-position model. The record is from RNAcentral.